This 100-nucleotide signal recognition particle RNA is filed under the name Myxococcales bacterium. RNAcentral describes it as "signal recognition particle sRNA small type". It matches the Rfam family "Bacterial small signal recognition particle RNA". From Rfam's summary of the family: The signal recognition particle (SRP) is a universally conserved ribonucleoprotein involved in the co-translational targeting of proteins to membranes. Archaeal SRP consists of a 7S RNA and homologues of the eukaryotic SRP19 and SRP54 proteins. Lineage: Bacteria; Pseudomonadati; Myxococcota; Myxococcia; Myxococcales. The record is from RNAcentral.
CGCAGGGUCCCGCUCGAUCACGAACCUCGUGAAUUCCGUCAGGUCCGGAAGGAAGCAGCGGUAGCGGGGAUUCGGUUGCGAGCGGGGGUGCCCUGCGAUC